RNAcentral lists this ribosomal RNA (406 nucleotides) under uncultured bacterium. RNAcentral describes it as "partial 16S ribosomal RNA". It matches the Rfam family "Bacterial small subunit ribosomal RNA", at positions 28 to 526 of the family's 1533-position model. The record is from RNAcentral.
GAUGAACGCUAGCUACAGGCUUAACACAUGCAAGUCGAGGGACCGGCGCACGGGUGAGUAACACGUAUCCAACCUGCCCUUUACUCGGGGAUAGCCUUUCGAAAGAAAGAUUAAUACCCGAUAUAAAGGAUGGGGAUGCGUUCCAUUAGGUUGUUGGUGAGGUAAAGGCCCACCAAGCCUUCGAUGGAUAGGGGUUCUGAGAGGAAGGUCACCCACAUUGGAACUGAGACACGGUCCAAACUGCGACGGGAUGCAGCAGUGAGGAAUAUUGGUCAAUGGGCGUUAGCCUGAACCAGCCAAGUAGCGGGAAGGAGGAAGGCUUAUGGGUCGUAAACUUCUUUUAUAGAAGAAUAUGUAUUAUAUGAAUAAGGAUCGGCUAACUCCGUGCCAGCAGCCGCGGUAAUUC